Molecule: ribosomal RNA, 483 nt
Filed under: uncultured bacterium
Lineage: Bacteria
Description: partial 16S ribosomal RNA
Rfam family: Bacterial small subunit ribosomal RNA
Source: RNAcentral
GACGAACGCUGGCGGCGUGCUUAACACAUGCAAGUCGAACGCUGAAGCUCAGCUUUUGUUGGGUGGAUGAGUGGCGAACGGGUGAGUAACACGUGAGUAACCUGCCCCCUUCUUUGGGAUAACGCCCGGAAACGGGUGCUAAUACUGGAUAUUCACUGGUCUUCGCAUGGGGGUUGGUGGAAAGGGUUUUUCUGGUGGGGGAUGGGCUCGCGGCCUAUCAGCUUGUUGGUGGGGUGAUGGCCUACCAAGGCUUUGACGGGUAGCCGGCCUGAGAGGGUGACCGGUCACAUUGGGACUGGGAUACGGCCCAGACUCCUACGGGAGGCAGCAGUGGGGAAUAUUGCACAAUGGGCGCAAGCCUGAUGCAGCGACGCCGCGGGAGGGAUGGAGGCCGUCGGGUUGUGAACCUCUUUCGCUCAUGGUCAAGCCGCAACAAUGGUUGUGGUGAGGGUAGUGGGUAAAGAAGCGCCGGCUAACUACGUG